This 253-nucleotide ribosomal RNA is filed under the name uncultured bacterium. RNAcentral's name for it is "partial 16S ribosomal RNA". It matches the Rfam family "Bacterial small subunit ribosomal RNA", at positions 524 to 776 of the family's 1533-position model. The record is from RNAcentral.
UACGGAGGGUGCGAGCGUUGUCCGGAAUCACUGGGCGUAAAGGGCGCGUAGGCGGCUCGGUAAGCGUGUGGUGAAAGCCUGGGGCUCAACCCCGGGUCGGCCAUGCGAACUGUCGAGCUGGAGCACUGUAGAGGCAGGCGGAAUUCCGGGUGUAGCGGUGGAAUGCGUAGAGAUCCGGAAGAACACCGGUGGCGAAGGCGGCCAUCUGGACCGUUUCUGACGCUGAGGCGCGAAAGCGUGGGGAGCAAACAGG